This is a long non-coding RNA of Oncorhynchus tshawytscha (Chinook salmon), 1971 nucleotides long. RefSeq lists it as uncharacterized. The record is from RefSeq and is a predicted model, not a curated record. Lineage: Eukaryota; Metazoa; Chordata; Actinopteri; Salmoniformes; Salmonidae. The transcript has 3 exons.
AUAGUGUUUGUGUUUGAAUUAAGAUGCAGGAUUAAGAUGUCAAAUCUGCUGCCACCCACAAGAUGCAGUAGUGAUAAAGUCCGGAGAAUGUGGAGUUUCUUAUCAUUCAUCAAACUGAAAGUACUACCUUUAGAUUCAUACUGUUACAGUAAGGUCACCAUAGUUCCAUUUUUAGCGACGUUCCAAUUCCCUUUUCACUUCUGCAUUUAUAGUUGAUUUGGUGUUCGGCAGCGUAAGUGUCUGACCAUUAAAGAGAACGCAAGUUCCACAGCAGGUAGGAAAUGUAUUAACUCACAGGAUUUCUGCACUUCUAUUCUCUCUCUCCUAGACGAGGAUAACUCUGAUCUAUAUGCGUUAGCAAACCAGCAGUGAACAGUUAAGUAAUGAUGGUUCAAUUGUAGCAUUGUGUCAACAAUAGAUAUAUUUAGUUAGCCUAUGUGACUGUGGGGAGUGUGACGGUGGGGAGCCUAGAAACUGACUGGAGUGGGAGUAAAGAUAAGAUACUGCCAAAGUGCAGAAGGGACACAACGACUACAGUGUUAUCACUUCUUCUCUUCAUGAAAAAGUACAUUUUACAUUUAGUCUCAUCCGCCAUUCAGGUCAAUCCCACCAAUCUGUGUCACGCACCAUGGGCAGAUGUAUCGAAGUUUGCAAGCUGGUCUUAUGGGUUGCAGUUUGUGUGACCUUCAUUGUCUUGGGCCGUUUUUGGACCUUCUCUGUAUUCCAACCCAACUAUGCACGGAAAGAGAUCAUCGGCAACACAGUAUACUGCAACAAAUCUCUAUACCUCUUUGUGGCCUCUACCACCAUCAUAUUGGACAUUAUUCUAUGUAUGUGGCUGCUUGUGUUGUUUUAUGUAUGUAAAUGCUUCAUACUUUGUCUGGUCUGCUGUGUCUCUUUAUGCAAGUCUGACGAUGUCAAACCUGUGCAGGUUGUUGAGCCUUUGAGGGUUGUGGAGACUGAGGACUGUGUUGAACCUAAGGAGUGUGUGGGGACUGACCUGUGUGUGUGUGUGGGGACUGAAGUGUGUGUGUGUGGGGACUGAAGUGUGUGUGUGGGGACUGAGGUGUGUAUGGGGAUUGAGGUGUGUGUGGAGACUCAGGAGAGUGUGGGGCAUGACGAGAGUGUGAGACAUGAAGAGAGUGUGGAGUAUAAGAAGUAUGUGGUAACUGGGCAGAGUGAGUCCAACAUUGCUCAUUAUUAAUGCAAUUCACUAUUCACAAUACCAAUAGUAAUUUCAAUGAAUUUGUCUAUUUUGGGGGGUGAGAUAAUGUAGAUGUCAUCAUAAAAAAUAAGCAAUCAAUGGGUCAAUUUGUGCCAUUAUGUUACCAAAAAUCUGAAGAUUAAAAUAAAAAUAUUAAUUCCCACUUUGAUUUUCAAGAUUUAAAAUGUACCUUGGUAGACAAAUAUUACCUUUCCAUUUUUGAGCAGAAUGAUAAUCAUUUGGCUAAUAAGCUGCUGUUCCACUUCACAAACACACGCCCUGAAAUAGUUUAGUGGAACGGCCCAUCAAUGAAAACGCACACCCAAAGAAAAUGGACUGGUGUGUUAAAAUGCCUGGGCCGACUAUUGGUCCGAUUUUGCCCCUGCUGUAGUUCGUAAAUCAUUACAAUUAUAAUAACUAACUGGAUCAAAUUGUGUGACCAUCAUCUUAGUGCUUGACAAAUACUAGGCCUAAGCACAACGCCUCUCCCCUAUUUGACCUAGAUAGUUUGUGUACGUAUUAAUAUGUAGGCUAAGUGCAACCGAUAUGAAUGUCUAGCUAGUUAGCGGUGGUGUCCGCUAAUAGCGUUUCAAUCGGUGACGUCACUCGCUUUGAGACCUUGAAAUAGUGGUUCCCCGGCUGCGCAUUUUGUGGAGCGAUGGGUAACGAUGCACCGAGGGUGACUGUUGAUGUGUGCAGAGGGUCCCUGGGUCGAGCCCAGGUUGGGGCGAGGAGAGGGAUGGACUCAAGUUAUACUGUUACAUAAG